This 366-nucleotide ribosomal RNA is filed under the name uncultured Geobacteraceae bacterium. RNAcentral describes it as "bacterial SSU rRNA". It matches the Rfam family "Bacterial small subunit ribosomal RNA", at positions 466 to 831 of the family's 1533-position model. Lineage: Bacteria; Pseudomonadati; Thermodesulfobacteriota; Desulfuromonadia; Geobacterales; Geobacteraceae. The record is from RNAcentral.
GGUUUGACGGUACCUUUAAAGGAAGCAUCGGCUAACUCCGUGCCAGCAGCCGCGGUAAUACGGGGGGUGCAAGCGUUGUUCGGAAUUAUUGGGCGUAAAGCGCGUGUAGGCGGUCUGAUUAGUCUGAUGUGAAAGCCCUGGGCUCAACCCAGGAAGUGCAUUGGAUACUGUCAGACUUGAAUACGGGAGAGGGUAGUGGAAUUCCUAGUGUAGGAGUGAAAUCCGUAGAUAUUAGGAGGAACACCGGUGGCGAAGGCGGCUACCUGGACCGAUAUUGACGCUGAGACGCGAAAGCGUGGGUAGCAAACAGGAUUAGAUACCCUGGUAGUCCACGCCGUAAACGAUGAGAACUAGGUGUCGCGGGUA